UACGUAGGGGGCAAGCGUUGUCCGGAUUUACUGGGCGUAAAGGGCGCGUAGGCGGCAUGACAAGUCACUUGUGAAAUCUCCGGGCUUAACUCGGAACGGUCAAGUGAUACUGUCGCGCUAGAGUGCGGAAGGGGCAAUCAGAAUUCUUGGUGUAGCGGUGAAAUGCGUAGAUAUCAAGAGGAAUACCUGAGGUGAAGACGGGUUGCUAGGCCGACACUGACGCUGAAGCGCGAAAGCCAGGGGAGCAAACGGG
RNAcentral lists this ribosomal RNA (253 nucleotides) under uncultured bacterium. RNAcentral's name for it is "partial 16S ribosomal RNA". It matches the Rfam family "Bacterial small subunit ribosomal RNA", at positions 524 to 776 of the family's 1533-position model. The record is from RNAcentral.